RNAcentral lists this ribosomal RNA (620 nucleotides) under uncultured bacterium. RNAcentral describes it as "bacterial SSU rRNA". It matches the Rfam family "Bacterial small subunit ribosomal RNA", at positions 338 to 951 of the family's 1533-position model. The record is from RNAcentral.
CCUACGGGAGGCGGCAGUGGGGAAUUUUGGACAAUGGGCGAAAGCCUGAUCCAGCAAUGCCGCGUGAGUGAAGAAGGCCUUCGGGUUGUAAAGCUCUUUUGUCAGGGAAGAAACGGUGAGGGCUAAUAUCCCUUGCUAAUGACGGUACCUGAAGAAUAAGCACCGGCUAACUACGUGCCAGCAGCCGCGGUAAUACGUAGGGUGCAAGCGUUAAUCGGAAUUACUGGGCGUAAAGCGUGCGCAGGCGGUUUUGUAAGUCUGUCGUGAAAUCCCCGGGCUCAACCUGGGAAUUGCGAUGGAGACUGCAAGGCUAGAAUCUGGCAGAGGGGGGUAGAAUUCCACGUGUAGCAGUGAAAUGCGUAGAGAUGUGGAGGAACACCGAUGGCGAAGGCAGCCCCCUGGGUCAAGAUUGACGCUCAUGCACGAAAGCGUGGGGAGCAAACAGGAUUAGAUACCCUGGUAGUCCACGCCCUAAACGAUGUCUACUAGUUGUCGGGUUUUAAUUAACUUGGUAACGCAGCUAACGCGUGAAGUAGACCGCCUGGGGAGUACGGUCGCAAGUAAUUAAAACUCAAAGGAAUUGACGGCUGNGAGNGCGAGGACGACGACGAGGGAGGAGG